Molecule: ribosomal RNA, 314 nt
Filed under: uncultured eukaryote
Lineage: Eukaryota
Description: partial large subunit ribosomal RNA
Rfam family: Eukaryotic large subunit ribosomal RNA
Source: RNAcentral
AUAUCAAUAAGCGGAGGAAAAGAAACCAACAGGGAUUGCCUUAGUAACGGCGAGUGAAGCGGCAACAGCUCAAAUUUGAAAUCUGCCUCUAGGCCGAGUUGUAAUUUGUAGAAGAUGCUUCGGGUGUGGCACCGGUCUAAGUUCCUUGGAACAGGACGUCAUAGAGGGUGAGAAUCCCGUCUUUGACCUGGAGUAAAUCAUCGCCACGUACGAUCCGAGUUUAUAGAGUCGCGUUGUUUGGGAUUGCAGCGCUAAAUGGGUGGUAAAUUCCAUCUAAAGCUAAAUAUUACUGCGAGACCGAUAGCGCACAAGUA